RNAcentral lists this long non-coding RNA (5102 nucleotides) under Lynx pardinus (Iberian lynx). The stretch from base 3223 to 3631 matches the Rfam family "Prostate cancer antigen RNA 3 conserved region 2". The record is from RNAcentral. Lineage: Eukaryota; Metazoa; Chordata; Mammalia; Carnivora; Felidae.
UGUAUUUAGUGUCUCAAUAACCACGACCAAUAAGCAAAGAGCUAGUCCACCCCAGCUCCCAACAGCGAUGCGACUCUAGGUUAAUAUCAAUUACUAUCAACUCCUACCAUUGGCUGCACAUUGCCUACACCGUUUCUCUGAGUAGUCAAUGCACCAAAGACUGCUGGACAUCUGAUAGCUGGGAUGAGUUACAUGGUAGAAUGACGACCAGACCGGAAACCAGAAGUCCUGUCUUGGAACUGCAGCCUUGCUGUUACGUAGCUGUGCGACCUCAGCUAAGAGCUCCCUCAGCCCUCCAAAUCACUGAUUCGGUUUCUUUCAAAACGCCCAAAGCAGCGCACAUAGUAGGUAUUUUAUUGAUUCAACAGAAGGGCACAGAGCCGGAAACAAAGUAGACACUUAAAGAACAUCAGCUGCGUCUGGCUAUGCCUUUCUUAACCGGCAGUCCUGUGACCUGUGGGGUCUGCUCAGACAGCUCAAGAGAAUGAUGCGUGGAGGGCCUGGCAUCUGCCAGGUGCCGCGAGAAUAGCUUCCCAAGGGCUACCUCAUUUGUUCAGUGAGAUAAGUGCUAACGUUCUGUGCGCUUGGCGAAGACACAGAGUGAGUGCUUGUGAGGCCCCAAAGCCUACGCCAUUGUGUGUAGGUCCCGACCCGAGUUCAGGGUAUGCCAACAUCUGCCAGUUGUCGCUUCAAAUGGUGGCCUACGUUUCCAGGAGGGAAAUGAGAGGGGCUGGUGACCUUACCAACCACAUGUGUGGCACACCGGCUGAGAUGGCUGAUGGCAGUGCAAACAGCAGGAUGAAAUAUAAUGUCAGAAUGAUAUGUUUUUACACACUCUCAGCCUCCUUAAACACCCCCUCCCCCCCCACACACACACAAACACAAAAGGAAGCACAGAAAUAACCAUUUUAUAAAGUGGCACUGAGCACCUGUUUCCUCCUCAGAAAUUCUUAAUGGACUUGACUUCCUCUGCUCAUUUCCAUGUUUCCUACUCACUGGCCUCCCAGAACGUGCCACCCAUUCUCUGUGCCUGGUACCCUACGGUCUGUCUGAUCCUCUUGGGUGUAUCGUCACAGAGCCUGGGCUCCUUACCUUGGCUCAGUCUCUGUCCUGUGUUUGUCUUUCACUUUUGCACCUCAGGGAGAGGUAUGCUGCCGCCAUCUUGGGACAUCAACAAGCCUUGCCCUGUGCCUACCUUCUGCUUGUGGGGGGAAGGGCAUUAGAAUAUAAGCUGAUGUGUUCUUUAAAGGGUAAACAGGAAAAUCGAUCCCGUUUACAUGACAAGGAUUCAGGGUUUGAAAUGCAGUCUCUAAGUGAACAUGACCCAAGGAGAAAGAAAAAUAGGCAAGAAAAUCUUGAUGGUUUCACAAGACACGUAAUGAACCGAGCCCUGUGUUGACCAUGAGGUGGGUAAGCAGGGGAGGUGAGAACCAUGGUUAUAAGGUCAGGAUCCUGGCCCUGCCACCUGAUCUGUGCGUCCAUGACCAACUGUUUCCUAUUUCCUAGCCUCCAUUUUCUAACGUGCAGAACAAUUACAUCAUAAUGUUUGGUCUCUCGGCUGCAUGGGUGCCGACAUUCUCCAUGUAUGUAGACACGCAGAUUUUGAAUGUUUAGCGCUGAGCUCUCCACUGUGACCUUUCCACAUUGACAGAAUAACAUUUUCCAUUGGGCUCGAAGACCAAAUGUGUUCAUCCUGUUGCCCAACAUUUGGAUUUUUCUUGACGUACUGGCCCAAGGCAUCAAGAAGCCUCUGUAAUGAGUCUCAGGACCUUCCCAGGGCUAUAUUCUAUGGCAAAUGGCAUGAUGAUUAUGGAAUGAAUUCACUAAUUGCUAUCAUCCUAAGUGCCUUUGUAUACACUGAAAUCCACUUUUCACUUUUAUGCCCAUUUUCAAGGCUUGAAAAUGUCAUUUUACUUAAUAUCCACAAGAUAAACUUUUUUUUUUUAACCUGGAUGAACUCACUGCAGUUUGUGGAAUUUGAUUACAUAUUCUGUCUUCCACAUCCUUAUGCAAAUGCUUUUAGUUUUAUUUUUUUAAGUUUAUAUAUUUAUUUUGAGAGAGAGAGAAGAGAGAGAGCACAAGCAGAGGAGAGGCAGAGAGAGAGGGAGAGAGAGAGAAUCUCCAGCAAGCUCCACGCUAUCAGCACAGAGCCCGACUUGAAGCUCGAACUCAAGAACCAUGAGAUCGUGACCUGAGCCAAAAUCAAGGGUGGGAUGCUUAACCAACUGAGCCACCCAGGGGCCCAACUUUUAGUUUUAAAUAAUCACCAUUGGAACUGGAAAACUCUUAAGGGACACCAUUGGCAUUUUACAAUCUGAAGAUGACUGAGCCCUUUAUCUCUCCCUUUUGUUUCCUUUCAGUUAUAAAGUUCAAAUGCUUAGCCUUGCACUAAGGCUUUCCAUGACUUCACCUCACCACAGCCUUUGUCAUCAUCAUCAGCACCCCCUCAAUGUGCUCAAGCAAAAUCCCUCUAAUUCCUAAUUCCCUAGACAUGUCCAUCAUACAUUAUUUUCUCUGCCUGAGAGGCUCUUCAUCUCCUAAAUCUUGAAUGAUGUAAAGUUUUUAAUAAAUAGAGCAUUUUACCUCAUGCAAAAUGGGGACACUUAUGGGAUUCGCUAUCACAUGAAAUAGCACAUGCCGAAAGUGUAACUUGAUUACAAAAGGUUUAGACAUAUUCAUGGGAUGCAAGAGCCACAAAGGAAAUGUUUUCAGGGCUUGAGGUAUUGGGCAAAGACAGAAUCUUCUAUUAUCCUGUAUAAUACACUGCACUUUUCUCUCCAUCCAUACUUCCCCAAGGGUAAAGCAGAGAAGAAGAAAGAUAAAGGAAAAUCACAGAGAAACAGAGAAGAGAUGACUGGUUGUACAGAACACUUCGACAAUCCGGAAUGGCAGCUGUGAUUCCCAUAGCCGCCGGGCGAGUCGAACAUUUGUUUUCACAACAUCAAAAAAGCUUUUUACAGAAUCGACGCAGUGCCAAUCCCCAAAGGUAACCUCUAUCCAUCUCAUUCAACACACAGAACUUCUCAGAAUUUUAGCAAGUCCCAGUGGUCACUUAUCUUAACUCUGAGAUGUCUUUAUCCCCUUCAUUAAUUGGGCAAAAUAGGGCACUUUUGUGAGUCACUGUUGAGGCUCACUCUGGCAAUAAAGCAUUUACAAAGAGCUACUCAGGACUAGCUGGUAAGAGCUGCGUUGUAGCUGUGAGCAUGCCAGAGUGUGUGUGUCUCUCUCUGACCCAUUAUUGCAGAUUUAAAAACAACCAUGUUUUCAAAUGGCACUACGAGCUGCCAAUGAUGUAUCACCAUCAUAUCUCAUUAUUCUCCACUAAAUGUGAUAAUAAUGUGAUCUGUUAACAUAAAAAAAGUUUGACUUCACAGAAGCAGCUGGAAAUGGACAACCACAAUAUGCAUAAAUCUAACUCCUACCAUCGGCUACACACUGCUUGACAUAUAUUGUUAGAAGCACCUCGCAUUUGCGAGUUCUCUUAAGCAAAAUAGUUGCAUUAGGUCUCAGCUGGGGCUGUGCACCAGGCAGUUGGGGAAACAUUCAAUUCUCAGUGGAAGCCAGAAUUUGAAUUCUCUCAUCUUUUAGGAAUCAUUUACUAGGUUUGGAGAGUAUCCAGGCAGCUCAGGUGCUCCCACAGAUAUCUCUGAAGUUCCCUCCGUCUUUGCUCACUGAUGGUUGGAUAAAUGAGGUUAUCUUUAAACUGAUGAUUGCAGGGAAGAAAAAAAGCACGCUAAGUGAACCAACAACAGAGAUUCAAAGAAAUAUUAGAUUUAAGCUCACAGUGGUCAAAAGAAACAAGGGUACGAAGAACUUUAAGAAAUAGUCUGGGUCUCCAUGAGCCACAGUCAACAGCGGUGUUCAAGUCAGGAACCUCAGUCCAUCAGUUACACUAAUGAGUCCAGUGUCAUGAGUUUAAUUCUUCUAAUUCUGGCACUAGUUCCUGGCCAUCUUUGGCUCCCUUCUUGACACACAUUAGCUUCUAGCCUUUGCUUCCGUAUCUUUAUCUUUACCCCCAACACAGCACUUCUAAUCCUCUCUUCUCUCUGUUGCUUUGACCUUCUCCACAAGAACAACAUUGACUCUCAAGUCUGUUUCCAUCCCCACCAUGAACCUGAGUGCCCACACCCAUAUUCAUUAUCUCCAAUAGACACUACUCAUUGGCCAUAUUGACUUAGAUUAUUAGUCUUAGGUAUUUAAAAUUCAAAAUGUUCAAAAUCAAACUCAUUAUCUUCUAUUUCUUUUUCCUCCUAGACUUGCUCCUUCUGCCUUUAUUACUGAUUGCACUUAAUAGCAUGAUCCUCAAUGGAGUCAUGCAAAUUAGAAACCCAGUGGCUCCUUGCAGUACAUGCAUGCGAGGUCUGAGGGGAGACAUUUGCCAGAGCUGGAAAGAUGACUGAUUAUCUAUUUGGAUGGAGGGAAUUGCUCUUGGGCCUUCAAAGUCCUCCAGACAAGACCUGAGAUGCUCCCCACCUCCUGGGGGACUCUGUACCUCCCUUCUCUACCAAAGAGUCACAGAAUGUGCCACGUCUGAGAAUUCCAGGUAGGAAUUCAUACUUUUUAUUUGUCCUAUUAAUUUUUUUCAACUCACUGAAAAUUUCCUUUUCCAAAACUCUACUUCCAAAUCACUCUUUCGUACACUGUUUUGGCAUAGUAUAUCACUCUGAUUCUUUGUUACACCUACUCUUAAUCUUGUAUCACCAAAGUGUUUUUGGUUUUUUUAUUUGAGAGACAGUGAGAGAGAGUCAGGGGGAGGGGCAAAGGGAGAGAGGGAGAGGGAGAGAGAGAGAGAGAGGGAGAGAGAGAGAGAGAGAGAAAGAGAGAGAGAGAGAGAGAGAGAGAGAAUCCUACACAGGCUCCGCACUGAGCUUGGCUCUAUCCCACGACCCUAGGAUUAUGACCUGAGCCGAAAUCAAGAGUCGGACGCUCAACCAACUGAGUCACCCAAGCAUCCCUCACCAAAGUGUUUUUAUUCUCUUUAUUUAAUUAUUAAAUUGUGUUGUUAUAUUACUUACCUACUAUUAUUUCAUUCUCUUAAUUGCCAGUUUAUUCAUUUUGGUAUACAAUUAUCCUUAUGGCUGACUUAAAAAUUUGAUCAUUUG